AUUAAAUAGAGUUUGAUCCUGGCUCAGAAUAAAUGCUAUUGGUAUGCUUAACACAUGCAAGUUGAAUGUUUAAUUUUUAAACAUAGCGAACGGGUGAGUAACGCGUGAAUUAUCUACCUUUUAAUUCAGGAUAAUUAUUUUAUAUAAAAAUACUGAAUAAUUUUAAUAAAGUUUUAAUAACGUUAAAAGAUGAGUUUGCGUAAGAUUAGGUAGUUGGUAGUUUAAAAGACUACCAAGCCGACUAUCUUUAGCUGGUUUGAAAGAAUGAUCAGCCACAUUGGGACUGAGACACGGCCCAAACUUUUUUAAAGGCAGCAGUGGGGAAUUUUGGACAAUGAGCGAAAGCUUGAUCCAGCAAUACCAAGUGAGUGAAGAAGGCUAAUUAGGUUGUAAAGCUCUUUCAUUAAGGAGGAAAAUGACAGUACUUAAAAAAGAAGUUCCGGCUAAUACCCGUGCCAGCAGCUGCGGUAAUACGGGAGGAGCGAGCAUUAUUCGGAAUGAUUAGGCGUAAAGGGUUUGUAGGUGGUUUUUUAAGUUGAAAAAAACAAAUUAAAGCUCAACUUUAUAAAUUUUUUCAAAACUGAAAAACUUGAGUAUAAAUAGAGGAUAAUGGAAUUUCUAUUGGAGGGAUAAAAUACGUUGAUAAUAGAAGGAAGAUCAAAAGCGAAGGCAAUUAUCUGGGUAUAUACUGACACUGAGAAACGAAAGCUUGGGUAGCGAACGGGAUUAGAUCCCCGGUAGUCCAUGCUGUAAACGAUGAGUGCUCAUAUUUAGAAUUUUUAGAUAUCAAGCUA
This 794-nucleotide non-coding RNA is filed under the name Globisporangium ultimum DAOM BR144. RNAcentral's name for it is "Pythium ultimum DAOM BR144 Bacterial small subunit ribosomal RNA". It matches the Rfam family "Bacterial small subunit ribosomal RNA", at positions 1 to 854 of the family's 1533-position model. Lineage: Eukaryota; Oomycota; Peronosporomycetes; Pythiales; Pythiaceae. The record is from Rfam by way of RNAcentral.